This 200-nucleotide unclassified non-coding RNA is filed under the name soil metagenome. RNAcentral describes it as "partial contains internal transcribed spacer 2 and large subunit ribosomal RNA". The record is from RNAcentral.
UGCUGGUCUUUUUAGACGUAGCUCGUUCGUAAUAUAUUAGCAUCUCUAAAUUCGAAAUCGGAUUGACUCUGUGUAAUAGACUAUUCGCAGAGGACACUACUUCGGUAGUGGCCGAAUGAGAAAACAGUUAGAAGCUUCCAACUAUAGUAGUCAACUUUAGAUUAGACCUCAGAUCAGGCAGGAUUACCCGCUGAACUUAA